RNAcentral lists this long non-coding RNA (489 nucleotides) under Elaeis guineensis (African oil palm). Its description in RNAcentral is "long non-coding RNA (EGUI_LNC022621)". Lineage: Eukaryota; Viridiplantae; Streptophyta; Magnoliopsida; Arecales; Arecaceae. The record is from RNAcentral.
CUUCUAAUUCUUUAAUAAAUUCAGGGGAAAAAUCCUUCCUCCUCUGCCUUCCAAAGGAAAAAAAGGGAAAAGCACUGUACCAGUGGAUUGCAGAGAGGUGUUUCUUGAGAGAAGAUUACAGAUAGAAUUCGGCUAACAAAAUUAAAUAUCUAUGAGAGGUCUAGGACAAUAGUAGGAGAUAAGAUGGCCAAAAGUUUGAGAUAUUUUCUAUGGUCAUGGGAGGAACACCGUGGAUUCACGAAAUCAUGUUUCCUCUCAGAAAGAUAAUGAGAGAGAGAGACAGAGAGGGGGUGGUGGGGGGUGUGAUGGUUAGGAAAUCAUAGAAAUAUUGAUGCUUAUCAAAGGAAUAGCACUAUAAUUUAAAAACUUGAAUCCGAGGAAAACAAAAUUUACUUUCCCAAAGCCCAACUCCAAACAGAAACACAGUGGGGUGGGGGAGGGAGGGGGGGGAGAGAGAGAGAGGCGGAAGGAGAAAAGUAGUUAUCAUGA